Regulatory RNA element from Planctomycetaceae bacterium SCGC AG-212-D15, 198 nucleotides. The record is from Rfam. NCBI's taxonomy places the organism in Bacteria, Pseudomonadati, Planctomycetota, Planctomycetia, Planctomycetales, Planctomycetaceae.
CCGCCGGGCGACUCGACUGGUUUGUUGCCUCUCGACCGCGAGAGGCAACCGGGAAAACGGUGCGAAUCCGUUGCGGGACCGCCGCUGUAACCGGCCAGGCGCCUGAACACGAGUGGCCACUGUGCAAGGCAUGGGAAGGCCGUUUGGGAGCCGUUACGAGCCGGAAGCCAGAAGACCUGCCAGCCGAGCUUUACUCUC